GAGGGUAUAGCUCAGUGAUAGUGCGUGUUUAGCAUGCACAAGGUCCUGGGUUCAAACCCCAGGACCUCCA
RNAcentral lists this transfer RNA (70 nucleotides) under Camelus bactrianus (Bactrian camel). It matches the Rfam family "tRNA". Rfam says of the family: Transfer RNA (tRNA) molecules are approximately 80 nucleotides in length. Their secondary structure includes four short double-helical elements and three loops (D, anti-codon, and T loops). RNAcentral also lists the same sequence under 2 other names. The record is from Rfam by way of RNAcentral. Lineage: Eukaryota; Metazoa; Chordata; Mammalia; Artiodactyla; Camelidae.